RNAcentral lists this non-coding RNA (45 nucleotides) under Schistosoma mansoni. Lineage: Eukaryota; Metazoa; Platyhelminthes; Trematoda; Strigeidida; Schistosomatidae. The record is from RNAcentral.
AUCCAGCUGACGAGUCCAGUAUAAGAGGAAACGCGCGUCUUGGAU